Long non-coding RNA from Pollicipes pollicipes, 198 nucleotides. RefSeq lists it as uncharacterized. Lineage: Eukaryota; Metazoa; Arthropoda; Thecostraca; Pollicipedomorpha; Pollicipedidae. The transcript has 3 exons. The record is from RefSeq and is a predicted model, not a curated record.
AGCUGGAGUCGGCGCUAGCUAACUGGAACCAGGAUGAGACUCGAGUAGGUGGCCUGUUUUCCAAGCAGCUGAUGCGGCAGUACGAAGAAUACAAGGCGUUCUACACUACGGCCAGACGGCUGUACCGGCAGAAGCACGCGGAGGACGGCGAGUUCGUGGAGUUCUGCCGCCUGCGCCGGGGCGCGGCCAAGCACACGC